Molecule: unclassified non-coding RNA, 301 nt
Filed under: uncultured fungus
Lineage: Eukaryota; Fungi
Description: partial contains 5.8S ribosomal RNA, internal transcribed spacer 2, and large subunit ribosomal RNA
Source: RNAcentral
AACGCACCUUGCACCCUUUGGUAUUCCGAAGGGUACGCCCGUUUGAGUGUCAUUGUACUCUCACACCCGAGGACUCUGUCCGAAGGAUUGUGGACUUGGAUGCUGCCGUGUCACAACGGCUCGUCUCAAAUGCAUGAGUGUAACCUGCCAGUCGGUGUUAUUUCAAUGUGAUAAGUAUCUUCAUUGGAUCGGCUCCUCGGAGUCGCACCUUUUGGUCGGGGGAUGCGCUGCCAACUGUCCUCGGACAAACUUUACUUGACAAUUUGACCUCAGAUCGGGCGGGACUACCCGCUGAACUUAA